CCUACGGGGGGCAGCAGUGGGGAAUAUUGGGCAAUGGGCGCAAGCCUGAACCAGCCAAGUAGCGUGAAGGAUGACUGCCCUAUGGGUUGUAAACUUCUUUUAUAUGGGAAUAAAGUGCAGUAUGUAUACUGCUUUGCAUGUACCUUAUGAAUAAGCAUCGGCUAACUCCGUGCCAGCAGCCGCGGUAAUACGGAGGAUCCGAGCGUUAUCCGGAUUUAUUGGGUUUAAAGGGAGCGUAGGCGGGUUGUUAAGUCAGUUGUGAAAGUUUGCGGCUCAACCGUAAAAUUGCAGUUGAUACUGGCAGCCUUGAGUACAGUAGAGGUAGGCGGAAUUCGUGGUGUAGCGGUGAAAUGCUUAGAUAUCACGAAGAACUCCGAUUGCGAAGGCAGCCUGCUGGACUGUAACUGACGCUGAGGCUCGAAAGUGUGGGUAUCAAACAGGAUUAGAUACCCUAGUAGUC
Molecule: ribosomal RNA, 460 nt
Filed under: uncultured bacterium
Lineage: Bacteria
Description: partial 16S ribosomal RNA
Rfam family: Bacterial small subunit ribosomal RNA
Source: RNAcentral